Molecule: non-coding RNA, 65 nt
Organism: Podarcis lilfordi (Lilford's wall lizard)
Lineage: Eukaryota; Metazoa; Chordata; Lepidosauria; Squamata; Lacertidae
Source: the annotation of a GenBank genome assembly
GGCUCGGUUGGUAGGGCAUGAGACUCUUAAUCUCAGGGUUGUGGGUUCAAGCCCCACGAUGGGCA